UUAAAGGCGUGAGCCACCACCGCCUGGCUCUAAGCAGAGGUUUCCCAUGGCCUCUUCCUGCCAGACUUGGCUUUCCUCAAUGAUGGGCUGUUACCUGAUUUGAAAGUUGUCAGUUGAAAUAAGCCCUUUCCUCCCCAAGUUGUUCCCGUUCUGGUGUUUUAUCAGCACAAGCGAAACCCUAACUACAUCACCCGACAGCCCAAGGAAGCCUGCUGUGGCUGGUUUGGCUCUCCAAAAGCAUGAACAAGGAGGAUGUGCCUAUUAUUCCAUCCCAGAAGACACCUGACUGUCUCGUGAUAUUGAAUCUGAAAGUCUCAGACCAGGCACGGCCCAGGGAAGCCCUGAGCUUUCCCUAAGACUGUGCUAUUGACUGUGCACAGCACUGGAAUUUGGACCUUAACUAUCUCCUGAAGAGGCAGCAAGCAACACACACACCGACUCACUUGACAGUCCCAGUCAGAGCUGCCCCUGGCCCUUGGGUCAGCUCUCUGAGGAAACUUCCUUCUUGACAAAAAGAGUUAGACUGGAGAAAAUACACAGAAAGAGAAACAAAGAAUGUGCCCUCACCCCCGGCACGGAACACCCUCUGAGAGAGCUGAGGGACAAUACCACAACCACAAACUAAGAAAGAAAGAAUAUUCCAGAAGAGGAGAUUUAACAAACACAAAGAAGAGCUCCAGUUGAAACAAUAGAAGCAUGGCAUGCCACACCUAGAUGUCUCAAAGAAAGAAACAGGAAAGACAAGGAGCUAAGAAAUUGGAGUACAGAAGCUAUUUUUAAAUAGGGGACCUAUUGCUUUGAUGGCACACAGUGGCCUGCCAGUUGACGGACCAGCUUGGCUCCACCCUAAGAUCAGAGCCAUCUUAUUACAAGGUCAAAAGAAGUUCACUCCUAUUUUCUGUAAAACUUGGGUUUGACCAUCUAGACCCAUUUUCCAGAAGAUGACAUGUUCCACACCCUAAACCCUGACCUCCACCCUAAUAAGAUAUGUUAUGCUAAAAAAAAAAUUGAGAUGUUCAGUCACGUUCCUAUGUAACCAAACUUCCUCUGGAAAAAAC
This is a long non-coding RNA of Arvicola amphibius (Eurasian water vole), 1058 nucleotides long. RefSeq lists it as uncharacterized. NCBI's taxonomy places the organism in Eukaryota, Metazoa, Chordata, Mammalia, Rodentia, Cricetidae. The record is from RefSeq and is a predicted model, not a curated record. The transcript is spliced from 3 exons.